AGUUUGAUCAUGGCUCAGGACGAACGCUGGCGGCGUGCUUAACACAUGCAAGUCGAACGAUGAAGCCCUUCGGGGUGGAUUAGUGGCGAACGGGUGAGUAACACGUGGGCAAUCUGCCCUUCACUCUGGGACAAGCCCUGGAAACGGGGUCUAAUACCGGAUAACACCGGCUUCCGCAUGGGAGCUGGUUAAAAGCUCCGGCGGUGAAGGAUGAGCCCGCGGCCUAUCAGCUUGUUGGUGGGGUAAUGGCCUACCAAGGCGACGACGGGUAGCCGGCCUGAGAGGGCGACCGGCCACACUGGGACUGAGACACGGCCCAGACUCCUACGGGAGGCAGCAGUGGGGAAUAUUGCACAAUGGGCGAAAGCCUGAUGCAGCGACGCCGCGUGAGGGAUGACGGCCUUCGGGUUGUAAACCUCUUUCAGCAG
RNAcentral lists this ribosomal RNA (428 nucleotides) under Streptomyces exfoliatus. RNAcentral's name for it is "bacterial SSU rRNA". It matches the Rfam family "Bacterial small subunit ribosomal RNA", at positions 10 to 442 of the family's 1533-position model. The record is from RNAcentral. Lineage: Bacteria; Bacillati; Actinomycetota; Actinomycetes; Kitasatosporales; Streptomycetaceae.